This 463-nucleotide ribosomal RNA is filed under the name uncultured bacterium. Its description in RNAcentral is "partial 16S ribosomal RNA". It matches the Rfam family "Bacterial small subunit ribosomal RNA", at positions 28 to 507 of the family's 1533-position model. The record is from RNAcentral.
GAUGAACGCUGACAGAAUGCUUAACACAUGCAAGUCGAUGGGGAAGUGGUGCUUGCACCAUGGCAACCAUGGCGGACGGGUGAGUAACGCGUAGGGGACUUACCUGCAGGACUGGGAUAACAGGGGGAAACUCCUGACAAGACCGGAUAAUGUCAUGGAGCUGCAUGGCUUUAUGAUGAAAGGAGACGCCUGCGGAGAGCCUUGCGUCCUAUUAGCUAGUUGGUGAGGUAAUGGCUCACCAAGGCGAAGAUAGGUAGCCGGCCUGAGAGGGUGGACGGCCACAAGGGGACUGAGAUACGGCCCUUACUCCUACGGGAGGCAGCAGUGGGGAAUAUUGGACAAUGGGGGCAACCCUGAUCCAGCAAUUCUGUGUGCACGAAGAAGGUUUUCGGAUUGUAAAGUGCUUUCAGCAGGGAAGAAGUAAGUGACGGUACCUGCAGAAGAAGCGACGGCUAAAUACGUG